UACGUAGGGCGCAAGCGUUAUCCGGAAUUAUUGGGCGUAAAGAGCUCGUAGGCGGUUUGUCGCGUCUGCUGUGAAAACUCGGGGCUUAACCCCGGGCCUGCAGUGGGUACGGGCAGACUAGAGUGCGGUAGGGGAGACUGGAAUUCCUGGUGUAGCGGUGAAAUGCGCAGAUAUCAGGAGGAACACCGGUGGCGAAGGCGGGUCUCUGGGCCGUAACUGACGCUGAGGAGCGAAAGCGUGGGAGCGAACAGG
This 252-nucleotide ribosomal RNA is filed under the name uncultured bacterium. RNAcentral describes it as "partial 16S ribosomal RNA". It matches the Rfam family "Bacterial small subunit ribosomal RNA", at positions 524 to 776 of the family's 1533-position model. The record is from RNAcentral.